Cebus imitator (Panamanian white-faced capuchin) is the source of this 3022-nucleotide long non-coding RNA. RefSeq lists it as uncharacterized. The record is from RefSeq and is a predicted model, not a curated record. The transcript has 3 exons. NCBI's taxonomy places the organism in Eukaryota, Metazoa, Chordata, Mammalia, Primates, Cebidae.
AAUCAAGUUGGACAUCAAGAAUCUCAUGGCAUAGACUUCCCCAAGGGCAGUCCCAUUUCACAAAAUGAAUUUUCAUUUUCCAAAGCUCAUCCCUUAGUUCGAUUUCUGUUUUUCAGGGCAUUUGUUUAAGCUCUGAUGGCAUGUCCAGAAAAGAACAGACCCCAACAAUUUCCUGCCCGAGUCCCAUCCUUCCCUCAAAGCCUUGGCUUGACCUGAGCAUUGAGCUAAUUCAUUUCUUUGAUCAAACUGGGGACUGUCUGAGCAGUGGGGUGGGCAGCAUGGGACAGGGAUAGGGUGGGUGUGUACAGGUGUGCAAGGCGGGCUACUUGAGGGGCGGGCGAUAGUUCAGGUCACCCUCCGGCUGGACCCACGAGGGCGCCGCGUUCCUCAUUCUACAAAUCGUACAAGUCGGGGCACAAGACAGAGAAGCCAGGUCACGUCUCUGCAGUUACACAGCUCACGAGUGCCUGCUGGGGUGGAACCUGGUCUGUCUGUCUGUCUAACACCAGAGCUGCUGCAGAGGGAGCCAAGAUUUGGGUGAGGGAGGGGCUCAGAGGUGGGGUGGAGGAUUUUUUUUUUUUUUAACCUGGUUGCCGUUGGUGUGCAAAUAAUAACGUAACUCUGCUUGGGGACUAGUGCUGUGACUAUCUUGCUGAGGGCGAAACAGGCACAGAGAGAUUCGUUUGCUUUCCUGAUGUUGCCCAGCUAGUUGGGGGUUGAGGCUGGAUUUGGGAGGUGGGCACUGACGUGUUAGCAUAUGUGCUGCAACCACUGGGCUCACUGGCUCGUGACAUGAGCAUAGGGGUCGAAGGCUCAGCCAUCUGGAUUUGAGGGCUUUUACCAGCUCCCCAGUGGUGGGUGUGCUCUGAGCUCAAGCUUGUAUAUUUCACACUCUCCCUUGACCCUUCUUUUUAGCCUUCAGCUGAAAAAUCCUGCAAGCCACUGAUCCACAGAAAAUAUUUAAGAAUACAUAUAUUACAUAUAUCUUGUAAACUUAUUUACAUAUAUAUAAACAUAUAUUUGGAAAGGGAUUGUAUCCAGGAGAUUUGGGAGUGAUUGUUUAAGGUAGAGGGAGGCAGGGGCAUGAGAUGGGGAGGGAUGGAGGUGGGAACCAUCAGUGGUAAUUGUCAAGCAUGGUUUUUUUUUUUACGUUUAAAGAUGUUUAUUAAAGUGUUAUUUUUUAAAAUUUAUUUAUUUUACUUUAAGGGUGGUUUUAACAAUCAAUACACUAAGAGAGAGGCAUGCUGGCAGCAAGGACAGGAGUGGGUCCUAAACCAGGGAUGGUGAUUAAUUCUCCACAACCGAGGGACAUUAAAAAAAGAGAUCAGAGUGGUUUGUGGCUAUUAAUUUUGUUAUUAAAAAUAAUCAAGGAAUAAAGAAAUAAGGUAAAAAAGGCCCCAAAUGGAACAAUUCUCAGAAUGUGUUCUGGGCAAAGGAUUAUACCUAAUCCAGGUCUGGUAACCUGACAUUAACAAGCAGAAAAGGCCUCGUAGGCUAUUUUCUUUCUUUUAAUGGGCUUUAUGUUCCAUAGAAUGGGCACACUGGGGUUUCUCUGCCAAAGAAGGUGACUGCGGACAAAUAAAAUCCGGCUUCAUGGGCGUUGAUUGAACAGUUAAAAAUGAAUGAAUGCAUUAACAAAAUUAGAGACAGGCAAGCAUGGACCAGUGAUGGCAAUGUGUUACCCACUCCCCAGCUUUAUAAAGAGAUCAUUGAUGAACAAGUAUUGUAUGUAUUUGUAUUGUAUGUAUUUAAGUUGGACAGUGUGACAUUUUGAUACGCACAUAUAUUGUGAAAUGAUUACCGUAAUCAAGCGAAUUAACGUAUCCAUCACCUCAUGUAGUUCCCUUUUUCUGUGUGUGCAGUGAGAAUACUUAAGGUCCGGUAAACACCUUUCUAUUCUCUGCCUCUAUGAGGUUAUUAUAAAAGAAAACCCAGGUUCCAGGCUGUUGAGGCUGUGGGUGGGAAGUGUAUAAACAACUAUACAGAAGAGUCAUUGGUCUUGGGCUGAAUGGUGACUUGAAGGGUAGUGACUGCAUAGUUAAAAAUGACUUACAUGAGUACAGAAGUGUCGAGUACCAAGAAUGGACCACAAAGACAGCGUUUUAUGACCUAAAGACUAAGAUUUAUCCAUUUAUGUACAAUUGUGGACUAUUUAAAAUAAAACAAGACUUUUACCUCAGUGGAUAGUGGUAUUUGGAUGUACUAAUCAAUAUUUUUGUUCUAGAUCAGUGAUGGGUUCAUCUGUGUUUGUUGUAUUUAAAAAAAUCCAGGAAAACAUUGAAAAGGGUGAGUAGGAGUUGAAGAUGAUUGUUACUCCAAGUCCGCAUUAUCUGCGUCCGUUAGGAAGAAUAUCUGGGUUGGUUCCUUCUUGGGUAAGAUGCAGAGGGACGUAUGUUUGUGAUAGUCAUGAUUCUUGUUUUUGAUUAGAAUGGUAAAUACACUCAUUGUAAUAAUAGAUGAAUGAUUACAUACAACGAGAGGUACGCUUGGACCAGUGGUGAGACUGUCAUGAAGCAAAGAUUAUAAUUAAUCCUGUGCUUCUCACCUGACGGCCAUUAAAAAAUAUCUAGGUUUUAAAAUUCUUUUCAAUAUCAGCCUUGUGUUCCACAGAAUGGAGGCUCCAGAGUGAAAUUAAUGAUACUUUGUCAAUGAAGGUCUUGAUUGUGAACUCUGUGAGAAAUGAGCCAUGAGCCAACCAAUAAUGAGUGCACUGCAGGUGAUCUGCUGCUAUGUAAUGAUGAGUCCUGGGCUCCUUUCUCUGUGGGCAAGGAGCAUGGAGGCCGAUGAAAGAUCUGACUUAUUCGUUAUACAGUGAUGGAGAUGUUGCUGACAUGUAGGUGGAUAAGGAGCAGAGAGGCACAUGUAAGUAACAGAGUUCUUGUUCUUGCUUUGAAGGGGAUUAUUCAUGUUGUCCAUGGAAUUAAUUCAAAGGAAUGAAUAGCUACCACAAACAUAAAUAGAAUUAAACAUGCUGGCUGGGCACAGUGGCUCACGCCUGUAAUCCCAGCACUUUGGGAAGCUG